GCUGGCGGCAGGCCUAACACAUGCAAGUCGAACGGUAACAGGAAGAAGCUUGCUUCUUUGCUGACGAGCGGCGGACGGGUGAGUAAUGUCUGGGAAACUGCCUGAUGGAGGGGGAUAACUACUGGAAACGGUAGCUAAUACCGCAUAACGUCGCAAGACCAAAGAGGGGGACCUUCGGGCCUCUUGCCAUCGGAUGUGCCCAGAUGGGAUUAGCUUGUUGGUGGGGUAACGGCUCACCAAGGCGACGAUCCCUAGCUGGUCUGAGAGGAUGACCAGCCACACUGGAACUGAGACACGGUCCAGACUCCUACGGGAGGCAGCAGUGGGGAAUAUUGCACAAUGGGCGCAAGCCUGAUGCAGCCAUGCCGCGUGUAUGAAGAAGGCCUUCGGGUUGUAAAGUACUUUCAGCGGGGAGGAAGGGAGUAAAGUUAAUACCUUUGCUCAUUGACGUUACCCGCAGAAGAAGCACCGGCUAACUCCGUGCCAGCAGCCGCGGUAAUACGGAGGGUGCAAGCGUUAAUCGGAAUUACUGGGCGUAAAGCGCACGCAGGCGGUUUGUUAAGUCAGAUGUGAAAUCCCCGGGCUCAACCUGGGAACUGCAUCUGAUACUGGCAAGCUUGAGUCUCGUAGAGGGGGGUAGAAUUCCAGGUGUAGCGGUGAAAUGCGUAGAGAUCUGGAGGAAUACCGGUGGCGAAGGCGGCCCCCUGGACGAAGACUGACGCUCAGGUGCGAAAGCGUGGGGAGCAAACAGGAUUAGAUACCCUGGUAGUCCACGCCGUAAACGAUGUCGACUUGGAGGUUGUGCCCUUGAGGCGUGGCUUCCGGAGCUAACGCGUUAAGUCGACCGCCUGGGGAGUACGGCCGCAAGGUUAAAACUCAAAUGAAUUGACGGGGGCCCGCACAAGCGGUGGAGCAUGUGGUUUAAUUCGAUGCAACGCGAAGAACCUUACCUGGUCUUGACAUCCACGGAAGUUUUCAGAGAUGAGAAUGUGCCUUCGGGAACCGUGAGACAGGUGCUGCAUGGCUGUCGUCAGCUCGUGUUGUGAAAUGUUGGGUUAAGUCCCGCAACGAGCGCAACCCUUAUCCUUUGUUGCCAGCGGUCCGGCCGGGAACUCAAAGGAGACUGCCAGUGAUAAACUGGAGGAAGGUGGGGAUGACGUCAAGUCAUCAUGGCCCUUACGACCAGGGCUACACACGUGCUACAAUGGCGCAUACAAAGAGAAGCGACCUCGCGAGAGCAAGCGGACCUCAUAAAGUGCGUCGUAGUCCGGAUUGGAGUCUGCAACUCGACUCCAUGAAGUCGGAAUCGCUAGUAAUCGUGGAUCAGAAUGCCACGGUGAAUACGUUCCCGGGCCUUGUACACACCGCCCGUCACACCAUGGGAGUGGGUUGCAAAAGAAGUAGGUAGCUUAACCUUCGGGAGGGCGCUUACCACUUUGUGAUUCAUGACUGGGGUGAAGUC
This 1462-nucleotide ribosomal RNA is filed under the name uncultured bacterium. RNAcentral describes it as "16S ribosomal RNA". It matches the Rfam family "Bacterial small subunit ribosomal RNA". The record is from RNAcentral.